RNAcentral lists this unclassified non-coding RNA (241 nucleotides) under uncultured fungus. Its description in RNAcentral is "sequence contains 5.8S rRNA gene". The stretch from base 1 to 53 matches the Rfam family "5.8S ribosomal RNA", at positions 102 to 154 of the family's 154-position model. The record is from RNAcentral. Lineage: Eukaryota; Fungi.
GAACGCACAUUGCGCCCUCUGGUAUUCCGGAGGGCAUGCCUGUUCGAGCGUCAUUAUGACCAAAUCACCCCCGUGGUGGACUUGGAGCUGGCCUAACUGGCCUCUCUUAAAAUCAGUGGCGGUGCUCUUAAGCUCUACGCGUAGUAAUUUUCUCGCGACAGGUCUUAGGUGUUACUUGCCAACAACCCCAACUAUUAUAAGGUUGACCUCGGAUCAGGUAGGGAUACCCGCUGAACUUAAG